GCUGAGCCAAUGGCUGCGGGCGCUCGAUGCUCGAUGGACAGCUCUGGAGGGCUCAUUGGGACUCGUCUCAAAGGGCCCAUUCUCUCAAUUCUCUUCGUUUUCGUUACGCCUUAUCCGCUCUCUUUCAUCCUUUCGUUUU
Molecule: non-coding RNA, 139 nt
Organism: Caenorhabditis elegans
Lineage: Eukaryota; Metazoa; Nematoda; Chromadorea; Rhabditida; Rhabditidae
Source: Ensembl